This 1414-nucleotide long non-coding RNA is filed under the name Malus domestica (apple). RNAcentral describes it as "long non-coding RNA (MDOM_LNC015488)". Lineage: Eukaryota; Viridiplantae; Streptophyta; Magnoliopsida; Rosales; Rosaceae. The record is from RNAcentral.
CACCACAUCAUAUGUAGUUUAAGAAGGCAGGACUGCAGGUAGCGAUUCAGCAGGACAUGCACAGGUCCAGAAUUCUCUGUAGAGAGGAGCAGGUCGACGCAGUUGAUAAGGAAGCCAUUUGUCACAAGCCUGAUCAAAAGAUGGCUUUUGACCAAAUAAAAAACAUAUCAAAAGAUGUUUAGUGUGUUUUAUUAUAUAUUUAUUUUCGUUUUUGUAAGAUGAUAGUUAUACUCUUUUCAAAGCUACGGUGGAGACUACAUAUCAGGGACAAGGUCUGAUGCGUUAAAAUAAUUAAGCAAGUACAAAGCAAAUCAUUUUAUUAAAUUAAGGCACAUUGCAGAUAUGAAUUAAGGCAUAUUGUUAUCCAUACUUAACCAUUUAAUACAAAUAUUACGGAGUUAUUGAUCGAAUAAAACUUUGAGCGCAUUGUUACUUGAGCUAUAAAAUUGCUGCACGAUAAAUCAUCUAACUAUAACCACAAUUCAUGAAUUAGGCCAUAUUCGUAAUUAACCAUUUAAUACAAGUGAUAUUAUGGAGUUAAUAAUCGGAUACAUGAUCUCCCGUGCAUGGUUAUUUGACCUAUACAAUUUUUACAAUAUAAAUCAUCUAACUAUGACCUUAAACUUGAGCACUUAUUUUAAAAUGAGUAAGUCUUUGUUUGCGAUUUUAGGUCACCCAAAUAGUGAUAAAAAAAACCUCAUACGCCAGCGAAGGGCUUACGUAUGCGUACAUAUAGGCUAGUUUAACUAAUAAUUAAGGGGAAAACCAUAUUCAACCAAACAAAGAUUGAGAAUGGCGGGCAGAUGAUAAUCUUUACGGUCUAGAGAUGUGAUCGGUAUAGAGAAUCUUGGAAAGACAAGUAGGAAUAGCUCAUAGAUAUAUAUAUAUAUAUAUAUACACACACACACAUACAUAAACAUAUGUAUAUAUAUACAAGUCUUUUGGGCCCACUUCACAUCUAACUUCAACGAUCCGAACUGUUUAUUUUGUAAAUCUCAAUUCAUAGAUUAUUCUUGCAAAAAUUCAAUUUAAUCCGAAACCAUUUGCAUAUUUAAUUAUCACUAUGUAAUUUCAUUGUUUCUUAUAGAACAUAGUGUUCAUCAAUUUCUUUGAACUCAACAAGAUGUCUCAAAUAUUUCCGAUUUGACUAAUAUUUUGCAAGGAUGAUUAAUGAGGUCCAACUUGAAAAAUAGACGAUUUAGAUUGUUGAAGUUCGAUUGUGAUAUGGUCCCCACAACCAAUGGCGUAUGCAUUGAGGGGCUGGGCAGGUCAGCUGACCCCCGAACUUCGGUGAAUGUCCAUGGAUACCUUGGGUGCUGCCCUUUUGAAGAUUAGAGUUAGCUUCAUACAUGCCCUCCAAUUGACUUUAGGCCUACCAAGACUCGAUGAAUGUCCAUGGAUACCUUGGGUGCUG